Molecule: ribosomal RNA, 497 nt
Filed under: uncultured bacterium
Lineage: Bacteria
Description: partial 16S ribosomal RNA
Rfam family: Bacterial small subunit ribosomal RNA
Source: RNAcentral
GAUGAACGCUGGCGGCGUGCCUAAUACAUGCAAGUCGAGCGAACAGACGAGGAUCUUGCUCCUCUGACGUUAGCGGCGGACGGGUGAGUAACCCGUGGAUACCCUACCUAUAAGACUGGGAUAACUUCGGGAAACCGGAGCUAAUACCGGAUAAUAUAUUGAACCGCAUGGUUCAAUAGUGAAAGACGGUUUUGCUGUCACUUAUAGAUGGAUCCGCGCCGCAUUAGCUAGUUGGUAAGGUAACGGCUUACCAAGGCAACGAUGCGUAGCCGACCUGAGAGGGCGAUCGGCCACACUGGAACUGAGACACGGUCCAGACUCCUACGGGAGGCAGCAGUAGGGAAUCUUCCGCAAUGGGCGAAAGCCUGACGGAGCAACGCCGCGUGAGUGAUGAAGGUCUUCGGAUCGUAAAACUCUGUUAUUAGGGAAGAACAAAUGUGUAAGUAACUAUGCACGUCUUGACGGUACCUAAUCAGAAAGCCACGGCUAACUACGUG